Dreissena polymorpha is the source of this 1087-nucleotide long non-coding RNA. RefSeq lists it as uncharacterized. The record is from RefSeq and is a predicted model, not a curated record. Lineage: Eukaryota; Metazoa; Mollusca; Bivalvia; Myida; Dreissenidae. The transcript has 2 exons.
AUACAAACAUUUCCCACCCACCAUGUGGAUCAAGAUGUUUGGGCUGAUGAUUCUGGGUCGUAUGUGUGGACAAGGUGGUCUUCAUUACAUCAUGAUGCAGCUGUGUAUUCAACAACAUGUUAACCUGUCCCAGCGGAUGUUGAUGCUCUUAAAUCUCUUAAAUGAUGUUGAGAAAAAUCCAGGACCGGAGUAUUCGUGCAAAUGGAUAUCCUGCAAGGAAGACUUCCACUCCAUAGGACAGCAAGAUGCACAUAUCAUCUCUCAUGUGGUUCAAGAGAAAUGCUGUAGAUGGGGAGACUGUACCAAAGUCCUGAGCUUUAAUAGUCUUGAAAUCCAUGAACUUAAACAUCUCUAUGAUGUGAGUUUAGCACUGUGUAUGAACUGGUGUUGCUUCAUUUUCUGCAUAUCUUUAUCUCAGUCUUCUCUAGUUUUGAUGGUCAAAUACAUAUUGUCUGCCAGUUUUUUUCCCCCAAUACUGCCGUUCAUCGUUUGCUUGCAUCAAGAGUUUUAAAAGAAAUUAAAACUCAUUUGUUUAGUUAGAAUCUUAUGAAAGACUUAAAUGGCCAUGUUUAAUACAAUUGUAUAACAACAUAUACGAGCUAAAAAAAUAGUUGGAAUAAUUAAUGUUUAUAUGAACAUAACAAAUUUACUUAAAAUCAUAGGUCUUGUUUUUGUCUGCCACUAUAAGAACCAGAACAUAUUUCGGACAUUCGAGGAUUGACUUGCUGUGUUAGAGGAUCAUCAGGUGAUGGAAGAAACCAGGCUUUUUUCGACUCAAUGUUAAUGAAACCUGAUCGACAUGCUCAUCUUGGUUGAGUAAGCCUGGGUUGAGUGUUUCCAAAAAGUAGGUAACCUGGUGAAAUCUUAGGAAAACAUUGUAACCAGAUCCAGGUUUUUUUGACUGACAGACCGAUGGACAGUGGGUCAACCGUAAAUCCCUUCAUGUGAAAACGGUAGGGACAAAAUAAAUAUCACAUUGCUCUUCUGAGUUCAUUUGUAAACCAAGUUUUAUCACAAAAUUAAAAUGGUCAAUGUAUUAUUUUGUGUAUUUAAAAAUUAUGUGAAUAUUAAGUUUCAUGAAAUCUUA